GUCGGGUGCCUUGGCACGCACCUGUAAUCCCAGCUACUCAGGAGACUGAGGCAGGAGAAUUGCUUGAACCCGGGAGACCGAGGUUGCAGUGAGCUGAGAUUGUGUCACUGCACUCCAGCCUGGGGGACAGAGAAAGACUCUGUCUCAU
This is an unclassified non-coding RNA of Macaca fascicularis (crab-eating macaque), 148 nucleotides long. It matches the Rfam family "Metazoan signal recognition particle RNA". From Rfam's summary of the family: The signal recognition particle (SRP) is a universally conserved ribonucleoprotein. The record is from Ensembl. Lineage: Eukaryota; Metazoa; Chordata; Mammalia; Primates; Cercopithecidae.